Molecule: ribosomal RNA, 908 nt
Filed under: uncultured bacterium
Lineage: Bacteria
Description: bacterial SSU rRNA
Rfam family: Bacterial small subunit ribosomal RNA
Source: RNAcentral
GUGGCAGCCGCCGCGGUAAGACAGAGGUCUCGAGCGUUAUCCGGAUUCACUGGGCGUAAAGGGCGUCUAGGCGGUUUCGUGUGUCAUCUGUGAAAGCUCCCGGCUCAACUGGGAGAGGUCGGGUGAAACUACGAAACUCGAGCUUCGGAGGGGAGAGUGGAACUUCCAGAGUAACGGUGAAAUGUGCAGAUACUGGAAGGUACCUCGAUAGCGAAGGCAGCUCUCUGGCCGACAGCUGACGCUGAAGCGCGAAAGCGUGGGUAGCAAACCGGAUUAGAUACCCGGGUAGUCCACGCCCCAAACGAUGUCAACUUGGUGUUGGCUCCUUUAACUGAGGGCCAGUGCCGCAGCUAACGCGUUAAGUUGACCGCCUGGGGACUACGGCCGCAAGGCUAAAACUCAAGGGAAUUGACGGGGGCCCGCACAAGCGGUGGAGCACGUGGUUUAAUUCGAUGAUAAGCGAAGAACCUCACCUGGGCUUGACAUGUUUGUGGUACCAACCCGAAAGGGAAGGGACCAUCUUCUUCGGAAGAUGGAGCAUUCACAGGUGCUGCAUGGCCGUCGUCAGCUCGUGUCGUAGGACGUCGGGUUAAGUCCCUCAACGAGCGCAACCCCUACACUUUGUUGCCAUCAGUUCGGCUGGGCACUCUAAGUGGACUGCCAGCGAAUAGCUGGAGGAGGGAGGGGAUGACGUCAGGUCAGUAUGGCCCUUAUGUCCAGGGCGACACACGUGCUACAAUGGCCGGUACAAAGGGUCGCGAAAUCGCAAGGUGGAGCCAAUCUCAAAAAACCGGUCUCAGUUCGGAUUGGGGUCUGCAAUUCGACCCCAUGAAGUCGGAAUCGCUAGUAAUCGCAGGUCAGCCAUACUGCGGUGAAUACGUACUCGGGCCUUGCACACACCGCCCGUC